GACGAACGCUGGCGGCGUGCUUAACACAUGCAAGUCGAGCGGUAAGGCUCCUUCGGGAGUACACGAGCGGCGAACGGGUGAGUAACACGUGAGUAAUCUGCCCUUCACUUCGGGAUAACCACCGGAAACGGUGGCUAAUACCGAAUACGACCAGUCUUCGCAUGAGGUGCUGGUGGAAAGUCUUUUCGGUGAAGGAUGUGCUCGCGGCCUAUCAGCUUGUUGGUGGGGUAAUGGCCUACCAAGGCUUCGACGGGUAGCCGGCCUGAGAGGGUGACCGGUCACACUGGGACUGAGACACGGCCCAGACUCCUACGGGAGGCAGCAGUGGGGAAUAUUGGACAAUGGGCGAAAGCCUGAUCCAGCAACGCCGCGUGAGGGAUGACGGCCUUCGGGUUGUAAACCUCUUUCAGUACCGACGAAGCGCCCUGUCGGGUGGUGACGGUAGGUACAGAAGAAGGACCGGCCAACUACGUG
RNAcentral lists this ribosomal RNA (474 nucleotides) under uncultured bacterium. RNAcentral's name for it is "partial 16S ribosomal RNA". It matches the Rfam family "Bacterial small subunit ribosomal RNA", at positions 28 to 507 of the family's 1533-position model. The record is from RNAcentral.